Molecule: long non-coding RNA, 172 nt
Organism: Dendronephthya gigantea
Lineage: Eukaryota; Metazoa; Cnidaria; Anthozoa; Malacalcyonacea; Nephtheidae
Exons: 3
Source: RefSeq, a predicted model, not a curated record
GUCAGAAUUAAGCCACAACUUACCUAUAGUUUUGUUUCUUGCGGUUGAAAACAGGACAGAGAGAAUCACACCCAAGGGUGGUGACCAAACAGUGUAGAACUCAAUAAGUUUGUCUGGCCUCAAUCGAACCGCUAUUCCUUGGUUCUCUUGUUCAAAGUGAAAAAGAGCAACA